RNAcentral lists this small RNA (26 nucleotides) under Bombyx mori (domestic silkworm). RNAcentral describes it as "ovarian small RNA-21439". The record is from RNAcentral. Lineage: Eukaryota; Metazoa; Arthropoda; Insecta; Lepidoptera; Bombycidae.
UACUGAAAUGUUAAAAUUAGUGCUAC